RNAcentral lists this small RNA (28 nucleotides) under Bombyx mori (domestic silkworm). RNAcentral describes it as "ovarian small RNA-33857". Lineage: Eukaryota; Metazoa; Arthropoda; Insecta; Lepidoptera; Bombycidae. The record is from RNAcentral.
UGCCUGAUGAGGUCGUCUUGACUAGCUC